CAGUAGCCACGGGAAUACGAAGGGGGCUAGCGUUGCUCGGAAUGACUGGGCGUAAAGGGCGCGUAGGCGGAUCACGCAGUCAGAUGUGAAAUUCCUGGGCUUAACCUGGGGGCUGCAUUUGAGACGCGUGGUCUAGAGUGUGAAAGAGGGUCGUGGAAUUCCCAGUGUAGAGGUGAAAUUCGUAGAUAUUGGGAAGAACACCGGUGGCGAAGGCGGCGACCUGGUUCAUUACUGACGCUGAGGCGCGAAAGCGUGGGGAGCAAACAGGAUUAGAUACCCGAGUAGUCCCUGUCUCUUAUAC
This 301-nucleotide ribosomal RNA is filed under the name uncultured bacterium. RNAcentral describes it as "partial 16S ribosomal RNA". It matches the Rfam family "Bacterial small subunit ribosomal RNA", at positions 509 to 807 of the family's 1533-position model. The record is from RNAcentral.